GUGGCGCAAUGGUAGCGCGCAAGACUUCUAUACAGAUUUUCCGCACUGUUAAACAGUGCAGGGAUGUAUGCAAUCUUGAGGUUGCGGGUUCGAGCCCCGCC
RNAcentral lists this transfer RNA (101 nucleotides) under Aspergillus cristatus. It matches the Rfam family "tRNA", at positions 7 to 64 of the family's 71-position model. From Rfam's summary of the family: Transfer RNA (tRNA) molecules are approximately 80 nucleotides in length. Their secondary structure includes four short double-helical elements and three loops (D, anti-codon, and T loops). The record is from Rfam by way of RNAcentral. Lineage: Eukaryota; Fungi; Ascomycota; Eurotiomycetes; Eurotiales; Aspergillaceae.